AUGAGUCACAAAGAGCAGGGAUCGGGAUGCUGUGUUGUGUUCUCUGAGAACUCUUUGUGCUCCAGAAGUGAUGGCCAUAGAGCGUGCCUCAGCCACAGCCUCCUGAAAAGCAAAUGUGCUUCCAAGGGCAGGAGCCGAGUCCGGUCCACUCCUUUCUCCUUAGUACCUGACACUGGAGUUGGUACAAAGGGGCAUUCCCCCCAGGAGUCUUCUCUGACUACACCAGCCCAGAGAGCUCUCUUCUCAAAAACAAAAUUCUCUGCACCUACCAAUAGCUCCCGACUUCCAGAAAUUCUGUCUCCCAGGCCUCUCAAGCUGUUACAUCCUCACUCUCAUGUCCAUGGCUUCCAUUGCCAAGUUUGCUUCAUGGUCAUAAGAUGUCAACUGUAGUCCAUCCACCCAGCUCAUCCACGUUCCAGGAGCAGGGAUGAAGAAAGAGACAGGCCGGCGCCGUGGCUCAAUAGGCUAAUCCUCCACCUUGCGGCGCCGGCACACCGGGUUCUAGUCCCGGUUGGGGCGCCGGAUUCUGUCCCGGUCGCCCCUCUUCCAGGCCAGCUCUCUGCUAUGGCCAGGGAGUGCAGUGGAGGAUGGCCCAGGUGCUUGGGCCCUGCACCCCAUGGGAGACCAGGAAAAGCACCUGGCUCCUGGCUCCUGCCAGGAUCAGCGCGGUGCGCCGGCUGCAGCGGCGGCCAUUGGAGGGUGAACCAACGGCAAAAGGAAGACCUUUCUCUCUGUCUCUCUCUCUCACUGUCCACUCUGCCUGUCA
RNAcentral lists this long non-coding RNA (766 nucleotides) under Oryctolagus cuniculus (rabbit). RNAcentral describes it as "lncRNA (ENSOCUG00000030724.1)". The record is from RNAcentral. Lineage: Eukaryota; Metazoa; Chordata; Mammalia; Lagomorpha; Leporidae.